This is a long non-coding RNA of Tarenaya hassleriana, 479 nucleotides long. RefSeq lists it as uncharacterized. NCBI's taxonomy places the organism in Eukaryota, Viridiplantae, Streptophyta, Magnoliopsida, Brassicales, Cleomaceae. The transcript has 2 exons. The record is from RefSeq and is a predicted model, not a curated record.
CCGCUGCCGCCGGAGCUGUCGGCGGCGGCAAAUGCUGCGAUGACUGGACUGCCCGUGCUCGAGAAGAUAGACCCUUCUCCUCUUUUAUCUCUCUCUGAGAUCGAAUGUUGUCUGGUUACAUCCACGGAUGACAGAGAGAGGAGAACGGUGGGGAAAAAUUUUGCCUUUCUUGCGCGGAAAAAGGCAGACAGAAGAAGAAGCUUUAUCAUUGAAAAUGGGUAUAAGCUGCUGUUAAUGGAAUUGAAAUAGAAGAAGAAGAAGAAGAGGAAGAAGAAGAAGAGCUGAAGAAGGAGGAGGUGAAGCUAAGCAUUUGAUUUUUAUAACGUUCUUCGAAUUUUCCAUAUUCAUUUGCUCAAAGUGUUUAUGUUCAUGAUGAUGAUGAUGAUGAUGAUGUAUGCUGUAUCCCUUUUUCCUCUGCUGAAUUUGAGUAGACUAACAUGAGAUCUAUGAAUACAGAAUCUACAAUCCUUCCCUUUUCU